CACGUAGGGUGCGAGCGUUGUCCGGAAUUAUUGGGCGUAAAGAGCUCGUAGGCGGUGUGUCACGUCGGCCGUGAAAACCUGCAGCUUAACUGUGGGCGUGCGGUCGAUACGUGCAUCACUGGAGUUCGGCAGGGGAGACUGGAAUUCCUGGUGUAGCGGUGAAAUGCGCAGAUAUCAGGAGGAACACCGGUGGCGAAGGCGGGUCUCUGGGCCGAUACUGACGCUGAGGAGCGAAAGCGUGGGGAGCAAACAGG
RNAcentral lists this ribosomal RNA (254 nucleotides) under uncultured bacterium. RNAcentral describes it as "partial 16S ribosomal RNA". It matches the Rfam family "Bacterial small subunit ribosomal RNA", at positions 524 to 776 of the family's 1533-position model. The record is from RNAcentral.